This is a long non-coding RNA of Panicum virgatum (switchgrass), 1795 nucleotides long. RefSeq lists it as uncharacterized. The transcript is spliced from 5 exons. The record is from RefSeq and is a predicted model, not a curated record. Lineage: Eukaryota; Viridiplantae; Streptophyta; Magnoliopsida; Poales; Poaceae.
CAAACUGGUUCCGGUUCACGCGUCCUCUCCGGUUGCCUGACCUUUCCAGGUUACACAGUGCCGGAAACAUGGCCGUGUCCCGGCAAAAAUGGCGCCGCGAAGGGACGACCGGAUGCGGCAUUGUGCUCGUGUCUUGGAAGGAAGCAAUGAACGUGCCAGCAGGUGCAGUGAGCUCCAUCUCUGUGCUCGCUUCUGCGCCAAGGUCUGCAGCUGCAAACAGUGUGGCCGUGCUCACUGCGGCCCCCUUUCUUCUUCUUUUCACAUGUGCUCACGCGCGGCAUAGUGCGCCUGCUUCUUUCUCAGCUUUUACAGCCUCUAAACACUAUAGCACGUGGAGCGGCACUGUACUCCUCCCCCCUCUUUUUGCUCCCGUUGAGCCUCGUUCAUAUUUGUCUCCUCGCUGUUGAAAGCCGCCGGUGUCUCCGUGUUCUUCUUUCACCGCUGCACGCUGCUCGUUGCUCCGUACUACUCGCCGUAGCUUCCUCAUGCGUGCCUGAGCUCCACGAAACGCACCGUCGUCUCCUUGUUCUUCUUUCGAAGCUCCUCGUUGCCUGAAGCUCUUCGUAUUCGUGGCUCUCGCGUCUGGUUCGCCGAGCGUGCUUUAGCUUGUCAUUGUGCACUGCCCAUAACAUAUCCGUGGCAAGUUGCUAUAUCGGUGAACUCGCAACCACUGCGCUUAACUGCUAAUCAGCUAACAAAGGAGAACUUCGUUGGUUUCUGUUUGUUUCUACGAAUCUGCAACACUCCUCUCCUCCUUUAGGUGGACCCGAUCAGCAUCCACAAGGCACAUUCAAAAAACAGAAACCACUAUUUGCCCAAUCCGAAGUGGUAUUGAACAUAUCUACAGAAGAUCUUCUGUCAGAAACUUCUGAACCUAAUACACUAGCUGAAAUUUCAGCUAAUUCAGAAGGUGAAUCCCAAAUCCACAUACCUAGAUUUCAGCUGACACUUCCAGUGCUAAGUGUAGCUGUGACGCUAACGCUGCAAAUCUCAUUCGAUAGUCAACUUAUGGAAGACAAAUAUAAGGCAGUCCUUCCGAUCUUAAGAGCUUUUAGCCUGGCCACAAUAAUAACUGAAUCGUUCAUAAAACUGCUGCACUUUUUCUUUGUCCACUGUGGUCUCAGAUUGCCUAACUCACCGGCAUGGGUGCAGAGUCUCCAAAACUACAGAAACCCACACAUUCCAUCUUGGUUAUAUCCACUUCAAUGGGUGUGUCUCACAGCUAUUAGAAACACGAAACUCUGUAUCACAUUACCAACAUUUAUCUGGACAGUUAGCUUCAUCAUUGCCUUACCUGAAUCUCAUCCAACCCUUAAGGCGAAAGCAUACAACACUCUCCUACUACAACUGAUACCUCCUUUUCUCUUAACACUGGCACACUGCAUCCAGGCUGUUUUAACCAUAUUUGAGUAUUACCUCAUUGCUUUAUUCCGCUACGCUAAAAGACGCCUUUGCCAUCGUUGGAACUGCUGUUUACCAAAGGCGUUCAAGGGCACAUCACAGCGGUCGUCCCAUGGACCUGCAGCUAAUUGUUAAGACUAACUCCACCAAGAUUUAACCGAAGUAGUAUUAGACCCACUUUUAGCUAUAUCUGCUGAACCGAGCAUUUGUAAUAUUUAUGCUAUGUAGUAGUACUUGCCACUCCAACUUCCAUCGUUCCAGUGAAGUAGUAUUAGACCCACUUUUAGUUAUAUUUGUUGAGCCGGACAUUUAAAAUAUUUGGGCUAUGUAAUAGUACUUGUUGUUUCAGUUUGCAUUGUAUUAAUGAACUGGCAAAUUAGUUAGCCUAUCUCAA